Molecule: ribosomal RNA, 405 nt
Filed under: uncultured prokaryote
Description: bacterial SSU rRNA
Rfam family: Bacterial small subunit ribosomal RNA
Source: RNAcentral
UGGGGGAUAUUGCACAAUGGGCGAAAGCCUGAUGCAGCAACGCCGCGUGAGGGAAGACGGUUUUCGGAUUGUAAACCUCUGUCUUUGGUGACGAAACAAAUGACGGUAGCCAAGGAGGAAGCCACGGCUAACUACGUGCCAGCAGCCGCGGUAAUACGUAGGUGGCGAGCGUUGUCCGGAAUUACUGGGUGUAAAGGGAGCGCAGGCGGGGAGACAAGUCAGCUGUGAAAACUAUCGGCUUAACUGAUAGAGUGCAGUUGAAACUGUUUUUCUUGAGUGGAGCAGAGGCAGGCGGAAUUCCGAGUGUAGCGGUGAAAUGCGUAGAUAUUCGGAGGAACACCAGUGGCGAAGGCGGCCUGCUGGGCUUUAACUGACGCUGAGGCUCGAAAGUGUGGGGAGCAAACA